AACGAACGCUGGCGGCAUGCCUAACACAUGCAAGUCGAACGAGACCUUCGGGUCUAGUGGCGCACGGGUGCGUAACGCGUGGGAACCUGCCCUUAGGUUCGGAAUAACUCCCCGAAAGGGGUGCUAAUACCGGAUAAUGUCUUCGGACCAAAGAUCUAUCGCCUUUGGAUGGGCCCGCGUUGGAUUAGCUAGUUGGUAGGGUAAAAGCCUACCAAGGCGACGAUCCAUAGCUGGUCUGAGAGGAUGAUCAGCCACACUGGGACUGAGACACGGCCCAGACUCCUACGGGAGGCAGCAGUGGGGAAUAUUGGACAAUGGGCGAAAGCCUGAUUCAGCAAUGCCGCGUGAGUGAUGAAGGCCUUAGGGUUGUAAAGCUCUUUUACCCGGGAUGAUAAUGACAGUACCGGGAGAAUAAGCUCCGGCUAACUCCGUG
This 433-nucleotide ribosomal RNA is filed under the name uncultured bacterium. Its description in RNAcentral is "partial 16S ribosomal RNA". It matches the Rfam family "Bacterial small subunit ribosomal RNA", at positions 29 to 507 of the family's 1533-position model. The record is from RNAcentral.